This 497-nucleotide ribosomal RNA is filed under the name uncultured bacterium. RNAcentral describes it as "partial 16S ribosomal RNA". It matches the Rfam family "Bacterial small subunit ribosomal RNA", at positions 28 to 507 of the family's 1533-position model. The record is from RNAcentral.
GACGAACGCUGGCGGCGUGCCUAAUACAUGCAAGUAGAACGCUGAAGAGAGGAGCUUGCUCUUCUUGGAUGAGUUGCGAACGGGUGAGUAACGCGUAGGUAACCUGCCUUGUAGCGGGGGAUAACUAUUGGAAACGAUAGCUAAUACCGCAUAACAAUGGAUGACACAUGUCAUUUAUUUGAAAGGGGCAAUUGCUCCACUACAAGAUGGACCUGCGUUGUAUUAGCUAGUAGGUGAGGUAACGGCUCACCUAGGCGACGAUACAUAGCCGACCUGAGAGGGUGAUCGGCCACACUGGGACUGAGACACGGCCCAGACUCCUACGGGAGGCAGCAGUAGGGAAUCUUCGGCAAUGGGGGCAACCCUGACCGAGCAACGCCGCGUGAGUGAAGAAGGUUUUCGGUUCGUAAAGCUCUGUUGUAAGUCAAGAACGAGUGUGAGAGUGGAAAGUUCACACUGUGACGGUAGCUUACCAGAAAGGGACGGCUAACUACGUG